This is a non-coding RNA of Sus scrofa (pig), 140 nucleotides long. The record is from Rfam. NCBI's taxonomy places the organism in Eukaryota, Metazoa, Chordata, Mammalia, Artiodactyla, Suidae.
GACUCCGGCCAUCCACCCUGAACAUGCCCAGUUUCCUCUGAUCUUGGAAGCUAAGCAGGAUCGGGCCUGGUUAGUACUUGGAUGGGAGGAUCGUAUCACCGGGGAUGGGGACUCGUGGGAGCUCCUUGGGGACAGAGGUG